AUAAAGGUCUCUGUCAUGUAGCUUCCUUCGGGAAGAACUUAUAGGGGAGACGAAAUGCGACCAGCCUGGACUGAGGUCCGCGCUUCUGCUAGGAUGCUGGCGUAAUGGCUGUAAGCGGCCCGUCUUGAAACACGGACCAAGGAGUCUAACAUCUAUGCGAGUGUUUGGGUGUCAAGCCCGAGCGCGUAAUGAAAGUGAACGGAGGUGGGAACCCUUUGGGUGCACCAUCGACCGAUCCUGAUGUCUUCGGAUGGAUUUGAGUAAGAGCAUAGCUGUUGGGACCCGAAAGAUGGUGAACUAUGCUUGAAUAGGGUGAAGCCAGAGGAAACUCUGGUGGAGGCUCGCAGCGGUUCUGACGUGCAAAUCGAUCGUCAAAUUUGGGCAUAGGGGCGAAAGACUAAUCGAACUGUCUAGUAGCUGGUUCCUGCCGAAGUUUCCCUCAGGAUAGCAGUAACGUUUUCAGUUUUAUGAGGUAAAGCGAAUGAUUAGAGGCAUGGGGGUUGAAACAACCUUCACCUAUUCUCAAACUUUAAAUAUGUAAGAAGUCCUUGUUACUUAAUUGAACGUGGACAUUUGAAUGUAUCGUUACUAGUGGGCCAUUUUUGGUAAGCAGAACUGGCGAUGCGGGAUGAACCGAACGCGGGGUUAAGGUGCCAGAAUGCACGCUCAUCAGACACCACAAAAGGUGUUGGUUCAUCUAG
Molecule: ribosomal RNA, 701 nt
Filed under: uncultured Ascomycota
Lineage: Eukaryota; Fungi; Ascomycota
Description: LSU rRNA
Rfam family: Eukaryotic large subunit ribosomal RNA
Source: RNAcentral